GCCGAGGUCGCAUAGCCUGGCCAUUGCGGAGGAUUGCUAAUCCUCUGUCCGAAAGGGCACGGGAGUUCAAAUCUCCCCCUCGGCG
RNAcentral lists this transfer RNA (85 nucleotides) under Candidatus Woesearchaeota archaeon. Its description in RNAcentral is "tRNA-Ser". It matches the Rfam family "tRNA". From Rfam's summary of the family: Transfer RNA (tRNA) molecules are approximately 80 nucleotides in length. Their secondary structure includes four short double-helical elements and three loops (D, anti-codon, and T loops). The record is from RNAcentral. Lineage: Archaea; Nanobdellati; Candidatus Woesearchaeota.